Molecule: ribosomal RNA, 967 nt
Filed under: Alcaligenes sp. AGH-04
Lineage: Bacteria; Pseudomonadati; Pseudomonadota; Betaproteobacteria; Burkholderiales; Alcaligenaceae
Description: bacterial SSU rRNA
Rfam family: Bacterial small subunit ribosomal RNA
Source: RNAcentral
UAUAGGGGGUUUCCUUGCAGUCGAGCGGCAGCACGAGAGAGCUUGCUCUCUUGGUGGCAAGUGGCGGACGGGUGAGUAAUAUAUCGGAACGUGCCCAGUAGCGGGGGAUAACUACUCGAAAGACUGGCUAAUACCGCAUACGCCCUACGGGGGAAAGGGGGGGAUCGCAAGACCUCUCACUAUUGGAGCGGCCGAUAUCGGAUUAGCUAGUUGGUGGGGUAAAGGCUCACCAAGGCAACGAUCCGUAUCUGGUUUGAGAGGACGACCAGCCACACUGGGACUGAGACACGGCCCGAACUCCUACGGGAGGCAGCACUGGGGAAUUUUGGACAAUGGGGGAAACCCUGAUCCUGCCAUCCCGCGUGUAUGAUGAAGGCCUUCGGGUUGUAAAGUACUUUUGGCACAGAAAAAAAGGCAUCCCCUAAUACGGGAUGCUGCUGACGGUAUCUGCAGAAUAAGCACCGGCUAACUACGUGCCAGCAGCCGCGGUAAUACGUACGGUGCAAGCGUUAAUCGGAAUUACUGGGCGUAAAGCGUGUGUAGGCGGUUCGGAAAGAAAGAUGUGAAAUCCCAGGGCUCAACCUUGGAACUGCAUUUUUAACUGCCGAGCUAGAGUAUGUCAGAGGGGGGUAGAAUUCCACGUGUAACAGUGAAAUGCGUAGAUAUGUGGAGGAAUACCGAUGGCGGAAGCAACCCCCUGGGAUAAUACUGACGCUCAGACACGAAAGCGUGGGGAGCAAACAAGAUUAGAUACCCUGGUAGUCCACGCCUCUAAACGAUGUCCACUAGCUGUUGGGGGCCGUUAUGCCUUAUUAGCGCAUCUAACGCGUGAAGUUGACCGCCUGGGGGAGUACGGGUCUCAGUAUGAAAACUCAAAGGAAAUGGAUCUGGGACCCGUACGAGUCGCUGCAUGCAUGCUCGCACUUAGUUCGGAUGGCUAACGCGGCAAAAUAACACCUUUAUACCG